Molecule: ribosomal RNA, 253 nt
Filed under: uncultured bacterium
Lineage: Bacteria
Description: partial 16S ribosomal RNA
Rfam family: Bacterial small subunit ribosomal RNA
Source: RNAcentral
UACAGAGGGUGCAAACGUUGUUCGGAAUUACUGGGCGUAAAGCGCGUGUAGGCGGUCUUACAAGUCGGCUGUGAAACCCCUGGGCUCAACCUGGGAAGUGCACUCGAUACUGUCGGACUGGAGUCCCGGAGAGGAUGGUGGAACUCUCGGUGUAGAGGUGAAAUUCGUAGAUAUCGGGAAGAACAUCGGUGGCGAAGGCGGCCAUCUGGACGGUGACUGACGCUGAGACGCGAAAGCGUGGGGAGCAAACAGG